CUUCCGUAGGUGAACCUGCGGAGGGAUCAUUACCGAGUUAUACAACUCAUCAACCCUGUGAACAUACCUAUAACGUUGCCUCGGCGGGAACAGACGGCCCCGUAACACGGGCCGCCCCCGCCAGAGGACCCCCUAACUCUGUUUCUAUAAUGUUUCUUCUGAGUAAACAAGCAAAUAAAUUAAAACUUUCAACAACGGAUCUCUUGGCUCUGGCAUCGAUGAAGAACGCAGCGAAAUGCGAUAAGUAAUGUGAAUUGCAGAAUUCAGUGAAUCAUCGAAUCUUUGAACGCACAUUGCGCCCGCCAGUAUUCUGGCGGGCAUGCCUGUUCGAGCGUCAUUACAACCCUCAGGCCCCCGGGCCUGGCGUUGGGGAUCGGCGGAAGCCCCCUGCGGGCACAACGCCGUCCCCCAAAUACAGUGGCGGUCCCGCCGCAGCUUCCAUUGCGUAGUAGCUAACACCUCGCAACUGGAGAGCGGCGCGGCCACGCCGUAAAACACCCAACUUCUGAAUGUUGACCUCGAAUCAGGUAGGAAUACCCGCUGAACUUAAGCAUAUCAAUAAGCGGGAGGAAA
The sequence is a ribosomal RNA, 573 nucleotides long. The stretch from base 184 to 337 matches the Rfam family "5.8S ribosomal RNA".